RNAcentral lists this ribosomal RNA (254 nucleotides) under uncultured bacterium. RNAcentral's name for it is "partial 16S ribosomal RNA". It matches the Rfam family "Bacterial small subunit ribosomal RNA", at positions 524 to 776 of the family's 1533-position model. The record is from RNAcentral.
UACGUAGGGUGCGAGCGUUGUCCGGGAUUAUUGGGCGUAAAGAGCUCGUAGGCGGUCUGUCGCGUCGGUCGUGAAAACCUGCAGCUUAACUGUGGGCGUGCGGUCGAUACGGGCAUGACUGGAGUUCGGCAGGGGAGACUGGAAUUCCUGGUGUAGCGGUGAAAUGCGCAGAUAUCAGGAGGAACACCGGUGGCGAAGGCGGGUCUCUGGGCCGAUACUGACGCUGAGGAGCGAAAGCGUGGGGAGCGAACAGG